RNAcentral lists this RNase P RNA (323 nucleotides) under Flavobacterium sp. 2755. RNAcentral describes it as "RNase P class A". It matches the Rfam family "Bacterial RNase P class A". Rfam says of the family: Ribonuclease P (RNase P) is a ubiquitous endoribonuclease, found in archaea, bacteria and eukarya as well as chloroplasts and mitochondria. Its best characterised activity is the generation of mature 5'-ends of tRNAs by cleaving the 5'-leader elements of precursor-tRNAs. The record is from RNAcentral. Lineage: Bacteria; Pseudomonadati; Bacteroidota; Flavobacteriia; Flavobacteriales; Flavobacteriaceae.
AGCGCAGACCGCCUUAUCGCCGUUCCAAUUAGGGAGGGAGGAAAGUCCGGACACCACAGAGAAGCAUAGCGGGUAACGCCCGUCGGUCAAGAUAACUUGUUAUUGAGAUUAGGACAAGUGCAGCAGAAAGUAUGUACAGGUAAUGCUGUAGUGAAACCAGGUAAACUCUAUGCGGUGAAAUACCAAGUAUAUCAGCAUUUAAGGGCUUCUCGUCCGUUGUUGAAGGGUAGGUAGCUUGAGUUCUGCAGUAAUGCGGAAUCUAGAUAAAUGAUAAGGCCUUGAUUUAUCAGGGACAGAAUCCGGCUUAUAGGUCUGCUUUUUUU